RNAcentral lists this ribosomal RNA (315 nucleotides) under uncultured Treponema sp. RNAcentral's name for it is "bacterial SSU rRNA". It matches the Rfam family "Bacterial small subunit ribosomal RNA", at positions 355 to 661 of the family's 1533-position model. The record is from RNAcentral. Lineage: Bacteria; Pseudomonadati; Spirochaetota; Spirochaetia; Treponematales; Treponemataceae.
CUAAGAAUAUUCCGCAAUGGACGAAAGUCUGACGGAGCGACGCCGCGUGGAUGAGGAAGGCCGGAAGGUUGUAAAAUCCUUUUGGGACUGAAGAAUAAGUGGUGCAGGGAAUGGCAUCGUGGUGACGGUAGGUCCUGAAUAAGCAACGGCUAAUUACGUGCCAGCAGCCGCGGUAACACGUAAGUUGCGAGCGUUGUUCGGAAUUAUUGGGCGUAAAGGGCAUGUAGGCGGCCCUGCAAGCUUGGUGUGAAAUCUAUGGGCUCAACCCCAUAGACUGCAUUGAGAACUACAGGGCUUGAGUCGCUGAGGCGGAAC